RNAcentral lists this ribosomal RNA (500 nucleotides) under Botrytis cinerea. RNAcentral describes it as "eukaryotic LSU rRNA". The stretch from base 159 to 312 matches the Rfam family "5.8S ribosomal RNA". The record is from RNAcentral. Lineage: Eukaryota; Fungi; Ascomycota; Leotiomycetes; Helotiales; Sclerotiniaceae.
AAGGAUCAUUACAGAGUUCAUGCCCGAAAGGGUAGACCUCCCACCCUUGUGUAUUAUUACUUUGUUGCUUUGGCGAGCUGCCUUCGGGCCUUGUAUGCUCGCCAGAGAUUACCAAAACUCUUUUUAUUAAUGUCGUCUGAGUACUAUAUAAUAGUUAAAACUUUCAACAACGGAUCUCUUGGUUCUGGCAUCGAUGAAGAACGCAGCGAAAUGCGAUAAGUAAUGUGAAUUGCAGAAUUCAGUGAAUCAUCGAAUCUUUGAACGCACAUUGCGCCCCUUGGUAUUCCGGGGGGCAUGCCUGUUCGAGCGUCAUUUCAACCCUCAAGCUUAGCUUGGUAUUGAGUCUAUGUCAGUAAUGGCAGGCUCUAAAAUCAGUGGCGGCGCCGCUGGGUCCUGAACGUAGUAAUAUCUCUCGUUACAGGUUCUCGGUGUGCUUCUGCCAAAACCCAAAUUUUUCUAUGGUUGACCUCGGAUCAGGUAGGGAUACCCGCUGAACUUAA